UACAGAGGUCCCAAGCGUUGUUCGGAUUUAUUGGGCGUAAAGGGUGCGUAGGCGGCGGAGUAAGUUGGGUGUGAAAUCCCGGGGCUCAACCUCGGAAUUGCAUUCAAUACUGCUUCGCUUGAGCACUGGAGAGGAGGCUGGAAUUUACGGUGUAGCAGUGAAAUGCGUAGAUAUCGUAAGGAAGGCCGGUGGCGAAAGCGAGCCUCUGGAUAGUUGCUGACGCUGAUGCACGAAGGCCAGGGGAGCAAACGGG
Molecule: ribosomal RNA, 253 nt
Filed under: uncultured bacterium
Lineage: Bacteria
Description: partial 16S ribosomal RNA
Rfam family: Bacterial small subunit ribosomal RNA
Source: RNAcentral